This 612-nucleotide unclassified non-coding RNA is filed under the name Hevea brasiliensis (rubber tree). Lineage: Eukaryota; Viridiplantae; Streptophyta; Magnoliopsida; Malpighiales; Euphorbiaceae. The record is from RNAcentral.
UCAUGGUUAGCAGACACACCAAUGCCAAGGAAUCAUAUCAUGCUAUGCUGCUGAUGCUUAACUGAGGAAUAAUACACGAACAAAAAGACAUCCGGCAGAGAUUCAGGCACAACCAAAACAUUUGAAUAAGGAGAAAAAACUAGAUGGUUCUGGUGAUGGCUCUGGUUCUGGCUUUAUCGGAGGAAGAUGCUUAAAGAAUGCUUUCACUGCUCCAGUUACCCCAUCCUCAUUCUCCAUCGCCUUGGCAAGCUCAACUGCACGCUCCUUUACCUUGGGAUCUAGCAUGAAAUUUAUAGCAUCAACCAACUUAGGGAGUGAGAACUCGUCAACCGGUAUGGGUGGAGGACCUACUCCUCUGGCAUGUACUCGCUCACCCCAGAAUGGUUGGUCACCAAAGAAAGGCACAAUGGUUGUGGGGCAUGCAGCUUUAAGACCAGCAGCUGUUGUUCCAGCACCUCCGUGAUGAACCACUGCCUUGCAUUGUAAGAACAGCCAGUCAUGAGGACAGUUAUCCAGUAAGUAUAUGGAGUCGUUUGGUUCUGCCAAAUUACCCAGGCCACCCCAGCCUUUGUUAAUGAUUCCCCGCUGGCCAGUUUGUUCCAAUGCAUCCAC